RNAcentral lists this transfer RNA (72 nucleotides) under Nephrurus amyae. RNAcentral's name for it is "tRNA-His". Lineage: Eukaryota; Metazoa; Chordata; Lepidosauria; Squamata; Carphodactylidae. The record is from RNAcentral.
GUACUCAUAGUCUAAAACAAAAGACACUGAUCUGUGGAAUCAGAAACAGGAACUACCCCCUCCUUGCGUACU